Molecule: long non-coding RNA, 1119 nt
Organism: Oreochromis aureus
Lineage: Eukaryota; Metazoa; Chordata; Actinopteri; Cichliformes; Cichlidae
Source: Ensembl
GUCUGUUCUAUAAUGCCUCAAUUCGGUAUUGGUAAACACCUGUUUGAACAUGGCCUCGAAACGGCAACAGGAGUCGGGAGCGGAGAAAAGAAAGAAGAAGAGGAAGCGUGAUGAAACUCAGGCGUCGCUUGCCGGGUCAAUGCUUAAAUAUGUUCAAGGAGGAUCUCAAGGACAGGAUGAACCAUCCAGUAGUAGUGCCAUCCCUGGACAUCAACCACCAGCCAUUGUAGACCCUGCAACAAUCCCUAGCCAAGAAGAACAAGAACCAUCAACCACCAGUUCAGAAGGCGACUCCUUUCCUUUCCUGCCCGCCCUCCUGAUGAGGCACACCUGGCAACUCUUGGUUAACUAACUCACCUGUGGCUCAUGCUGUAAUUGACAGCUGCUUUGAAGGAUGAAACUUUCCCUCUGUUGUUGGCAGAUCAUUGUGUCAGCAAGUGACUGUUUCCAGAAGGGACUGCUUCCAGGCUGGAGUGGAAUUACUAGUUCUGGGGAAAUCGAAGCUUUGUGAAACACUCAAACCUUUGAAGCAUUUGUGCCACAACUGUAUCAAGGCUUCAAAACCAUCUGAAACCCAUCUCCACAGUGACAUCUGCUGGCUAGUUUGGCUAUCACUACAUCUUGAUAAUGCUUUCUGUGAAACAGUGAUGCAGACAAUAAUUGUGAUCACAUGUUACAACCAAGGAAAGGAAAAUAAUGAGACUGUUAACUGUAAUGAUAACUGUGCUAUCAUCUAGUGUUGCUCACAAUAAAUCAAUGUAUGAAGUAAACUGUCCAGAGAAAAAAAACUGCUGUGUUUACUUUACUAACCACACAGCUGUGUUUGGCCUAAGUCAGCUUCGUUUUUCGAUCACAGCACUGAAACUUUGGAUGCUGGACUUACAUUUUCUGGGAGUUUGUGUCAUCAGGUUUGUUCUACACACUGUCAAGCAAAGCUAGAAGCUGGCAUAGCUUUAGGUUUGAUUUGUAAUCAGCCUAAAAACCAUGAAGAAACUUUCCUGAACUUGACACUGGUGUAACACUUGCAUGAUGUUUUACUGUGAGUCUGGAGUUUUGGUCAUAGUGAACCUGCAUAACUCCUGUUGUUUUUGCGAUAUUAACAAUAGAAGCAUAGGUGGG